GCAUUUGUAGACGAAUGGUACGUCGCUCAGCACCGUUUCAAUAGAUAAUUACAGCAUGUAGAGACGUGUUGCUGGGAGGUGGCGGUUCGAUUCCUCCCAAAGGCA
This is a non-coding RNA of Mycena sp. CBHHK59/15, 105 nucleotides long. The record is from the annotation of a GenBank genome assembly. NCBI's taxonomy places the organism in Eukaryota, Fungi, Basidiomycota, Agaricomycetes, Agaricales, Mycenaceae.